RNAcentral lists this long non-coding RNA (210 nucleotides) under Brassica rapa (field mustard). RNAcentral describes it as "long non-coding RNA (BRAP_LNC004334)". Lineage: Eukaryota; Viridiplantae; Streptophyta; Magnoliopsida; Brassicales; Brassicaceae. The record is from RNAcentral.
GAUGAGACAAUGUGAGACAGUAAAAGUGUAAUACCCGUUUUUUUCUAAAAUAAAAUAAUAAAUAAUAAUAUCUGAAAAAUCUCCAUUUAUUACUUCUCAUAAAUCAAAUCCAACACCAUAAAUCCGAUAAAAAGAAUAAAUCCUGAAAAUAUCGAUUAAAUCAUAAAAUCGCAAGUCUGAAAAAGAAAUAAAGAAAUCACCCAAAAGCAC